Molecule: ribosomal RNA, 577 nt
Filed under: uncultured Penicillium
Lineage: Eukaryota; Fungi; Ascomycota; Eurotiomycetes; Eurotiales; Aspergillaceae
Description: eukaryotic LSU rRNA
Rfam family: 5.8S ribosomal RNA (bases 216-369)
Source: RNAcentral
CGUAACAAGGUUUCUGUAGGUGAACUGCGGAAGGAUCAUUACCGAGUGAGGGCCCUCUGGGUCCAACCUCCCACCCAUGUUUAUUGUACCUUGUUGCUUCGGCGGGCCCGCCUCACGGCCGCCGGGGGGCUUCUGCCCUCUGGCCCGCGCCCGCCGAAGACACCAUUGAACACUGUCUGAAGAUUGCAGUCUGAGCAAUUAGCUAAAUAAGUUAAAACUUUCAACAACGGAUCUCUUGGUUCCGGCAUCGAUGAAGAACGCAGCGAAAUGCGAUACGUAAUGUGAAUUGCAGAAUUCAGUGAAUCAUCGAGUCUUUGAACGCACAUUGCGCCCCUUGGUAUUCCGGGGGGCAUGCCUGUCCGAGCGUCAUUGCUGCCCUCAAGCACGGGCUUGUGUGUUGGGCCCCGUCCUCCUUCCCGGGGGACGGGCCCGAAAGGCAGCGGCGGCACCGCGUCCGGUCCUCGAGCGUAUGGGGCUUUGUCACCCGCUCUUGUAGGCCCGGCCGGCGCUUGCCGACAACCAUCAAUCUUUUUUCAGGUGGACCUCGGAUCAGGUAGGGAUACCCGCUGAACUUAAG